UCUGAAUCUGCGAACGGCUCCGCAAACCAGUUGUAAACUAUAGCAAGCAGGCUCGGGGUCGGCCUUCACGGGCUGGCCUCGGGCGAUAUGGAUAACCCUGGUAAUUCUGAGGCUAAUACAUGAACGUAGAACCCGGUUGACCAGGCCUCACGGCUAGGGAUGCUGGGGGAUGUGCGAUUGCAGGCUUGGGUAACUCCGGGAAAGGGCGCACGUCCAGACCGCGCUAUAAAGGAUGGGCUUCUCACGAGGCCUGCCCCAGCGGCUCUUGCUGUGUGCUUCUGACCUAUCAACUAGACGGCAGCGUAAGGGACAUGCUAUGGU
Molecule: ribosomal RNA, 321 nt
Filed under: Lamproderma ovoideum
Lineage: Eukaryota; Evosea; Eumycetozoa; Stemonitida; Stemonitidae
Also listed under: 1 other name
Description: bacterial SSU rRNA
Rfam family: Eukaryotic small subunit ribosomal RNA
Source: RNAcentral